Molecule: non-coding RNA, 24 nt
Filed under: Cricetulus griseus (Chinese hamster)
Lineage: Eukaryota; Metazoa; Chordata; Mammalia; Rodentia; Cricetidae
Source: RNAcentral
CUGAGGAUGAGAGAACAUGACUUU